AGGAUGAACGCUGGCGGCGUGCCUAACACAUGCAAGUCGAACGUCCUGUCUCGCAAGAGGCAGGGAGUGGCGGACGGGUGAGUACCACGUGGGUUAUCUACCGUGAGGUGAGGAAUACCGGCGAGAAAUCGCCGACAAGACCGCAUAGCCUCGGUGCAAGCCGAGCAAAGCUCUUUCGAGAGAGGGAGCGCCACACGAGGAGCCUGCGCCCGAUUAGCUAGCUGGUGGAGUAACGGUUCACCAGGGCGACGAUCGGUAGCUGGUCUGAGAGGACGAUCAGCCACACUGGGAUUGAGAACGGCCCAGACUCCUACGGGGGGCAGCAGUGAGGAAUUUCGUCAAUGGGGCAACCCUGAACGAGCAACGCCGCGUGCAGGAAGAAGGUUUUCGGAUCGUAAACUGCUUUUCGUCGGGGAAGAGGAACGGACGGUACCCGAGGAAUCACGCCCCGGCUAACUACGCGCCAGCAGCCGCGGUAA
Molecule: ribosomal RNA, 479 nt
Filed under: uncultured bacterium
Lineage: Bacteria
Description: SSU rRNA
Rfam family: Bacterial small subunit ribosomal RNA
Source: RNAcentral